This 229-nucleotide ribosomal RNA is filed under the name uncultured bacterium. Its description in RNAcentral is "partial 16S ribosomal RNA". It matches the Rfam family "Bacterial small subunit ribosomal RNA", at positions 568 to 796 of the family's 1533-position model. The record is from RNAcentral.
UAUGCAGGCGGAUCUCUAAGUCGGGGGUGAAAUCCUGAGGCUCAACCUCAGAACUGCCUUCGAUACUGGAAAUCUUGAGUCCGGGAGAGGUGAGUGGAACUGCGAGUGUAGAGGUGAAAUUCGUAGAUAUUCGCAAGAACACCAGUGGCGAAGGCGGCUCACUGGCCCGGUACUGACGCUGAGAUACGAAAGCGUGGGGAGCAAACAGGAUUAGAUACCCUGGUAGUCC